UACGUAGGUGACAAGCGUUGUCCGGAUUUACUGGGCGUAAAGAGCGCGCAGGCGGUCGUUCAAGUCGAGUGUGAAAGCCCCCGGCUCAACUGGGGAGGGUCACGCGAUACUGAUCGACUCGAAGGCAGGAGAGGGUAGUGGAAUUCCCGGUGUAGUGGUGAAAUGCGUAGAUAUCGGGAGGAACACCAGUGGCGAAGGCGACUACCUGGCCUGUUUCUUGACGCUGAGGCGCGAAAGCUAGGGGAGCAAACGGG
This 254-nucleotide ribosomal RNA is filed under the name uncultured bacterium. Its description in RNAcentral is "partial 16S ribosomal RNA". It matches the Rfam family "Bacterial small subunit ribosomal RNA", at positions 524 to 776 of the family's 1533-position model. The record is from RNAcentral.